RNAcentral lists this unclassified non-coding RNA (345 nucleotides) under soil metagenome. RNAcentral's name for it is "partial contains 5.8S ribosomal RNA, internal transcribed spacer 2, and large subunit ribosomal RNA". The stretch from base 1 to 120 matches the Rfam family "5.8S ribosomal RNA", at positions 35 to 154 of the family's 154-position model. The record is from RNAcentral.
GAUGAAGAACGCAGCGAAAUGCGAUACGAAAUGUGAAUUGCAGAAUUCAGUGAAUCAUCGAGUCUUUGAACGCACAUUGCGCCCCCUGGUAUUCCGGGGGGCAUGCCUGUCCGAGCGUCAUUGCUGCCCUCAAGCACGGCUUGUGUGUUGGGCCUCCGUCCUCCUCCCGGGGGACGGGCCCGAAAGGCAGCGGCGGCACCGCGUCCGGUCCUCGAGCGUAUGGGGCUUCGUCACCCGCUCUUGUAGGCCCGGCCGGCGCUUGCCGACACAUCAAUCUUUUUUCCAGGUUGACCUCGGAUCAGGUAGGGAUACCCGCUGAACUUAAGCAUAUCAAUAAGCGGAGGA